This 443-nucleotide ribosomal RNA is filed under the name uncultured bacterium. Its description in RNAcentral is "partial 16S ribosomal RNA". It matches the Rfam family "Bacterial small subunit ribosomal RNA", at positions 338 to 795 of the family's 1533-position model. The record is from RNAcentral.
CCUACGGGAGGCAGCAGUGGGGAAUAUUGCACAAUGGGCGAAAGCCUGAUGCAGCAACGCCGCGUGAAGGAAGAAGGGUUUCGGCUCGUAAACUUCUAUCAACAGGGACGAAAGAAAUGACGGUACCUGAAUAAGAAGCCCCGGCUAACUACGUGCCAGCAGCCGCGGUAAUACGUAGGGGGCAAGCGUUAUCCGGAAUUACUGGGGGUAAAGGGUGAGUAGGCGGCAUGGUAAGCCAGAUGUGAAAGCCUUGGGCUUAACCCGGGGAUUGCAUUUGGAACUAUCAAGCUAGAGUGCAGGAGAGGAAAGCGGAAUUCCUAGUGUAGCGGUGAAAUGCGUAGAUAUUAGGAAGAACACCAGUGGCGAAGGCGGCUUUCUGGACUAAAACUGACGCUGAGGCGCGAAAGCGUGGGGAGCGAACAGGAUUAGAUACCCUUGUAGUC